RNAcentral lists this long non-coding RNA (486 nucleotides) under Oryza sativa (Asian cultivated rice). Its description in RNAcentral is "long non-coding RNA (OSAT_LNC001302)". The record is from RNAcentral. Lineage: Eukaryota; Viridiplantae; Streptophyta; Magnoliopsida; Poales; Poaceae.
CUAAUUAACCCCCAACGGCCACUGUCAUUGCUAACAACGUGGCCUCUAGGCGUUAGUCUAAAAUUCGUUGGGUGGGUGAGCUAGACCGGGUUCCCCUAUUAAAGUAAAAUCCCCAACUGGCUUAAUCUGUAUAAAAUCCCAAAUACACAAUCAGAAUAAUACGCAGGCAGCAGCAGCUGAACCAAGCGGCAAGCGCACAGAAACCGAACCAGCAAUAGGAGCCAAGGAGAACCCCUCCCACGUACCUUGAGCAGAACCAUGGAAGCCCAGUAGUCGCAGCUGCACUCCUGUCGUCACGCCGGAUCGCAAGUGGAGUUGAAGGCAGCGAUGGAUCCACGGCUCCGAUGGUGGCGGUUGCAGACGGAGUAGGGAACCGGUGGCGGCGAGGAGUUGAGGAGGCAGCGGGGAAGGCACGGCGGUGGUGAAGCGCGAACGCGCGCGAGGGGAACCCGCAGUGGGGGAAAGCGCGGCAGUAGUGAGGCACGG